Molecule: ribosomal RNA, 491 nt
Filed under: uncultured bacterium
Lineage: Bacteria
Description: partial 16S ribosomal RNA
Rfam family: Bacterial small subunit ribosomal RNA
Source: RNAcentral
GUGCACGCUGGCGGUAGGCCUAACCCAUGCAAGUCGAACGGCAGCACAGUAAGAGCUUGCUCUUACGGGUGGCGAGUGGCGGACGGGUGAGGAAUACAUCGGAAUCUACUUUUUCGUGGGGGAUAACGUAGGGAAACUUACGCUAAUACCGCAUACGACCUACGGGUGAAAGCAGGGGAUCUUCGGACCUUGCGCGAUUGAAUGAGCCGAUGUCGGAUUAGCUAGUUCGCGGGGUAAAGGCCCACCAAGGCGACGAUCCGUAGCUGGUCUGAGAGGAUGAUCAGCCACACUGGAACUGAGACACGGUCCAGACUCCUACGGGAGGCAGCAGUGGGGAAUAUUGGACAAUGGGCGCAAGCCUGAUCCAGCCAUACCGCGUGGGUGAAGAAGGCCUUCGGGUUGUAAAGCCCUUUUGUUGGGAAAGAAAAGCAGCAGGUUAAUACCCCGCUGUUCUGACGGUACCCAAAGAAUAAGCACCGGCUAACUUCGUG